GCGGGUGUAGCUUAAUGGUAAAGCUUCAGCCUUCCAAGCUGGUGACGUGGGUUCGAUUCCCAUCACCCGCUCCA
This 74-nucleotide transfer RNA is filed under the name Alphaproteobacteria bacterium. Its description in RNAcentral is "tRNA-Gly". It matches the Rfam family "tRNA". From Rfam's summary of the family: Transfer RNA (tRNA) molecules are approximately 80 nucleotides in length. Lineage: Bacteria; Pseudomonadati; Pseudomonadota; Alphaproteobacteria. The record is from RNAcentral.